UGGGGAAUAUUGGACAAUGGGCGCAAGCCUGAUCCAGCCAUGCCGCGUGAGUGAUGAAGGCCCUAGGGUUGUAAAGCUCUUUCACCGGUGAAGAUAAUGACGGUAACCGGAGAAGAAGCCCCGGCUAACUUCGUGCCAGCAGCCGCGGUAAUACGAAGGGGGCUAGCGUUGUUCGGAUUUACUGGGCGUAAAGCGCACGUAGGCGGACUUUUAAGUCAGGGGUGGAAUCCCGGGGCUCAACCCCGGAACUGCCUUUGAUACUGGAAGUCUUGAGUAUGGUAGAGGUGAGUGGAAUUCCGAGUGUAGAGGUGAAAUUCGUAGAUAUUCGGAGGAACACCAGUGGCGAAGGCGGCUCACUGGACCAUUACUGACGCUGAGGUGCGAAAGCGUGGGGAGCAAACAGG
Molecule: ribosomal RNA, 404 nt
Filed under: Pseudomonas sp.
Lineage: Bacteria; Pseudomonadati; Pseudomonadota; Gammaproteobacteria; Pseudomonadales; Pseudomonadaceae
Also listed under: 3 other names
Description: partial 16S ribosomal RNA
Rfam family: Bacterial small subunit ribosomal RNA
Source: RNAcentral